GCAGGGGUAUCCGAGUCUGGUCAAAGGAGCGGGACUUAAGAUCCCGUGUCGUAGGACUACGAGGGUUCAAAUCCCUCCCCCUGCA
This 85-nucleotide transfer RNA is filed under the name Thermoplasmata archaeon. Its description in RNAcentral is "tRNA-Leu". It matches the Rfam family "tRNA". From Rfam's summary of the family: Transfer RNA (tRNA) molecules are approximately 80 nucleotides in length. Their secondary structure includes four short double-helical elements and three loops (D, anti-codon, and T loops). Lineage: Archaea; Methanobacteriati; Thermoplasmatota; Thermoplasmata. The record is from RNAcentral.